CACACUCCGCUCCACUCUCCCUCUUAUAUAGAAUUAUCUUUUGAAAUCAAAUUGUUCUAUUGUAUAUUCUUGAAUUAGUUGCUCUGAUGACUUGCCCUAGGACUUUCUGUGUGGCCUGAGACCGUUUAGUUUAUCAGAACUGUUUGGAUGUAAAUUCGAAGCAUGCCGGCAGUUGAGAUAUUUAUAUAUAUGCUUUGUUGAUAGGUCGAAAUUUUGGGAAAUGAUCAAAUUACAGGGAAGGCUCUGCCGAAUUCUCGGCAGAAGUUGAAUUUGUAAUAAACUUGAAUUUUAACUAGAAGGGCAAUUUAGUCAUUGUGCCCGGCACCCGCCAAGUGUCGGACACGCACAGGGUUCAGCUCGAAUUUCAAAGUGGAAUUUGGGUCGGGUCCUG
RNAcentral lists this long non-coding RNA (391 nucleotides) under Prunus persica (peach). RNAcentral describes it as "long non-coding RNA (PPER_LNC004863)". Lineage: Eukaryota; Viridiplantae; Streptophyta; Magnoliopsida; Rosales; Rosaceae. The record is from RNAcentral.